This 511-nucleotide ribosomal RNA is filed under the name uncultured bacterium. RNAcentral describes it as "partial 16S ribosomal RNA". It matches the Rfam family "Bacterial small subunit ribosomal RNA", at positions 29 to 507 of the family's 1533-position model. The record is from RNAcentral.
AUGCACGCUGGCGGCGUGCCUCAUCCCUGCCAGUCGAACGCAACUUCUUUAUCACCGAGUGCUUGCACUCACCGAUAAAGAGUUGAGUGGCGAACGGGUGAGUAACACGUGGGCAACCUGCCCAAAAGAGGGGGAUAACACUUGGAAACAGGUGCUAAUACCGCAUAACCAUAGUUACCGCAUGGUAACUAUGUAAAAGGUGGCUAUACUACCGCUUUUGGAUGGGCCCGCGGCGCAUUAGCUAGUUGGUAGGGUAAAGGCUUACCAAGGCAAUGAUGCGUAGCCGAAUUGAGAGGUUGAUCGGCCACAUUGGGACUGAGACACGGCCCAAACUCCUACGGGAGGCAGCAGUAGGGAAUCUUCCACAAUGGGCGAAAGCCUGAUGGAGCAACGCCGCGUGGGUGAAGAAGGUCUUCGGAUCGUAAAACCCUGUUGUUAGAGAAGAAAGUGCGUGAGAGUAACUGUUCACGUUUCGACGGUAUCUAACCAGAAAGCCACGGCUAACUACGUG